ACGGUCUUGCUGUCACUUAUAGAUGGAUCCGCGCUGCAUUAGCUAGUUGGUAAGGUAACGGCUUACCAAGGCAACGAUGCAUAGCCGACCUGAGAGGGUGAUCGGCCACACUGGAACUGAGACACGGUCCAGACUCCUACGGGAGGCAGCAGUAGGGAAUCUUCCGCAAUGGGCGAAAGCCUGACGGAGCAACGCCGCGUGAGUGAUGAAGGUCUUCGGAUCGUAAAACUCUGUUAUUAGGGAAGAACAUAUGUGUAAGUAACUGUGCACAUCUUGACGGUACCUAAUCAGAAAGCCACGGCUAACUACGUGCCAGCAGCCGCGGUAAUACGUAGGUGGCAAGCGUUAUCCGG
RNAcentral lists this ribosomal RNA (353 nucleotides) under Staphylococcus aureus. Its description in RNAcentral is "bacterial SSU rRNA". It matches the Rfam family "Bacterial small subunit ribosomal RNA", at positions 202 to 548 of the family's 1533-position model. The record is from RNAcentral. Lineage: Bacteria; Bacillati; Bacillota; Bacilli; Caryophanales; Staphylococcaceae.